GACGAACGCUGGCGGCGUGCCUAACACAUGCAAGUCGAACGGAGAAUUUUAUUUCGGUAGAAUUCUUAGUGGCGAACGGGUGAGUAACGCGUAGGCAACCUACCCUUUAGACGGGGACAACAUUCCGAAAGGAGUGCUAAUACCGGAUGUGAUCAUCUUGCCGCAUGGCAGGAUGAAGAAAGAUGGCCUCUACAAGUAAGCUAUCGCUAAAGGAUGGGCCUGCGUCUGAUUAGCUAGUUGGUAGUGUAACGGACUACCAAGGCGAUGAUCAGUAGCCGGUCUGAGAGGAUGAACGGCCACAUUGGGACUGAGACACGGCCCAAACUCCUACGGAGGCAGCAGUGGGGAAUCUUCCGCAAUGGACGAAAGUCUGACGGAGCAACGCCGCGUGAGUGAUGAAGGAUUCGGUCUGUAAAGCUCUGUGUUUAUGACGAACGUGCAGUGAGAAAAAAUGACGGUACCUGACUAAGAAGCCCGGCUAACUACGUGCCAGC
RNAcentral lists this ribosomal RNA (494 nucleotides) under uncultured bacterium. RNAcentral's name for it is "bacterial SSU rRNA". It matches the Rfam family "Bacterial small subunit ribosomal RNA", at positions 28 to 512 of the family's 1533-position model. The record is from RNAcentral.